Molecule: RNA transcript, 1873 nt
Organism: Salvia splendens (bonfire salvia)
Lineage: Eukaryota; Viridiplantae; Streptophyta; Magnoliopsida; Lamiales; Lamiaceae
Gene name: 1,2-dihydroxy-3-keto-5-methylthiopentene dioxygenase 2
Exons: 15
Source: RefSeq, a predicted model, not a curated record
UUACUCAUAUAGUGCGAGAAUUUCAAGAAAACCGAAGUUUUAUCUUCUUCCUCAGCAAGCAGCUGCAUGCUCAAUUCACCAUUGUCGAAGGCAGAAGCUUGAGAUGCCUCCUACGCCGCUCCUCCACCGGUCACCACCUCCGCCGCCGUGCCUCGUUGCUUCCAACACUUGGCUAAAUUUGCUAUCUUUGGAAUGCCCCAACACUUGCUUGCCCUACUCUGCUGAAUUAGUCUCAGGAAUUCCGUUAAAGAGUAAUGGGUUUCGAUGUUUUUCUCUCCCCCCUUUAUCCAAGCCAACAGGGUUUGGGAGAGCAAGCGAGCGAGAGAGAAUGGGUUCUGAAAGCAAGGAUCCGAGGGAGGAGGUUAUUCAGGCAUGGUACAUGGAUGACAGUGAUGCAGACCAGAGGCUUCCCCAUCACAGAGAUCCACAGGAAUUUGUGUCAUUUGAGAAACUUGAUGAGCUAGGAGUGCUUAGCUGGAGGCUCGAUGCUGAUAAUUAUGAAACUGACCCAAAGUUGAAGAAAAUUCGUGAAGACCGUGGAUAUUCUUAUAUGGAUUUUUGUGAGGUUUGCCCAGAAAAGCUGCCAAAUUAUGAAGAGAAAAUCAAGAACUUUUAUGAAGAACAUCUCCACACUGAUGAGGAGAUCCGCUAUUGUGUUGCUGGAAGCGGUUAUUUUGAUGUGCGCGAUCGCGAUGAAGCUUGGAUACGCAUCUGGGUAAAGAAGGGGGCAAUGAUUGUCCUUCCAGCUGGAAUUUAUCACCGCUUUACUCUUGAUUCAGACAAUUACAUCAAGGCAAUGAGGCUAUUUGUUGGUGACCCUGUAUGGACUCCUUUCAAUCGCCCUCACGAUCAUCUCCCUGCAAGGAAAGAAUAUGUUGAUAACUUUGUGAACAAGGCGGGCGGUGGUCCAGCCGUUGAUGCUGCAGCAGCUUAAAACCUCUCUCCCCAAACUGUCUGAAUCUUUGAGAAUGUGUGGUUGCUCUGCCAUCGCUUUUGUGUGAUAUAAAUGAGCUUGAAAUAAUGGGGUAUGUAUUCUGAGUGCAAAGGGGGGCGGUAGAUUCAGAGGACGCUGUCGUUUCACAUCAGCCAAAGUUGGAGCUAUGCGAUAUGGAGGUGUUUUGAUCUACAAUGUGGAUGGGCCGGCCAGGUUUCGUGAUAUAUGGUCUUUGCAGACAACGAUAAAGAAAAUCCUCGUGUCAGCCGGGAAAAUUUGAGGCUUGAGCCUUUGGAUGAUGAGUUGCUUGGAUACUUUGCUGAAAGAAUGAUAUCAAAGGAAACACUGCAGAGGAAUAAUGUCAUGCAAGUUGUUGGUGGAAAGAAAAUCAUUGCUUUUCCUUACAUACGAAAUGGACAGCAUGUUGGCUGCAAAUACCGGACACUUCAAUGCGCUGACUUCUUUUGCUUUCGCGCAUGAAUGGUAAAUUGUUAGUUAUAAUACUUUUUGAUAUUUGCCAUGAAUUUUCAGGGGAGAAAUACGGAGGAGAUGUUAUAUGGGAUCGAUGACACGCAGGUUGAAGGCGAAAUAGACAAGCUAUAAAUCGAAGAAGCUGGUUAUUGCAACUGUGUCAGUGUCCCUAGCGGUGCACCACAGACAGUUUCAGUCAAUCGAAUACCAUCAAAAGAAAAAGGACACUGCCUUUCAAUACUUGUGGAACUGCACAGAUCUAUUUUGAAAAGGUUUUGAAAUAAAAAGAAAAUGCUUUUGGAUGUCUAUGCCAUUGAGAGAUUUUUAAAUGGGAAUCAUAUUGUCAUUUCUUUAAAAAUUUGAUGUGUGUAUAUAUGAAAUUGCUAUACUGUAUUAAUAUAAGAAUACCAAUCGUGACCGCUGCUGUCAUUUAAUCCAAGUUGUCAUUAUUUAGUUUGUUUAUAAAUA